Molecule: transfer RNA, 74 nt
Filed under: Rhizoctonia solani AG-1 IB
Lineage: Eukaryota; Fungi; Basidiomycota; Agaricomycetes; Cantharellales; Ceratobasidiaceae
Description: tRNA-Arg
Rfam family: tRNA
About the family: Transfer RNA (tRNA) molecules are approximately 80 nucleotides in length.
Source: RNAcentral
GCCGCGUUGGCUCAAUGGUAGAGCGUCGCCCUCCUACAAGGCGAAGGCUGUGGGUUCGAUCCCCAUGCGUGGUA